AUGGCGGCCAUCCAGAACCUGCAGCUGUGGUGCAAGCAGCAGUGCGAGGGCUACCGCGACGUGAGCAUCACCAACAUGACCACCUCCUUCCGCGACGGCCUCGCCUUCUGCGCCAUCCUGCACCGCCACCGCCCCGACCUCAUAAACUUCAACUCCCUUAGUAAAGAAAAUGUGUAUGAGAACAACAAGUUGGCAUUUCGAGUGGCGGAGGAGGAGCUGGGUAUCCCAGCCUUGCUGGAUGCAGAGGAUAUGGUUGCUCUCAGGGUACCAGACAGGCUGAGCAUCCUCACCUAUGUUUCCCAGUAUUACAACUACUUCCAUGGACGGUCGCCUAUUGGAGGCAUGGCUGGAAUCAAGCGUCCAUCCUCCGAACCUCGGGAUGAGCCUCUUGGGAAGAAAGCCAUUUCAGAGCCUGUUAAACCAGUCCCUCCAAAACUGCCUCCUGCCCACCCACCAGCCAGGGCUAAGCCAAAAGAAACAUCUCCAGUCACCACAAAACGGAUCCUGGCAGAGAGUGGGAAUAUCCGCAGCAACAGCUGUGCUAUGUGUGGAAACCAUGUCCACCUGGUGCAGCGCCACUUGGUCGAUGGGAAGCUCUAUCAUAGGAACUGCUUCAGGUGCAAGCAGUGUUGGAAUGUGCUUCUGUCUGGGGGCUACAAAGCUGGGCCUGAGCCAGGUACUUUCAUCUGUACCAGUCACCAGCAGCCAGACAAUGUCUGGAACUCUGGACAGCAGACUUGGAACAAACCUGAGAGCACCCCAACUCUUACUCCUGCUACAGCAGUCCAGAAACCAGCAGAACCCAAGAAGCUGGAACAGGUGUUGAAGAAACCAAGCCAGGAAGGCCUUGCUAGUUCAACAAAGCUAUCUGUUUCAUCUUCUGGAAGUUCUGGCUUCAAAAGUCUAAAUAUGCCAUGGUCCUCUUCAACUGUAAAUAAAUUGGAUCACCAUGAAGGUACCCCACCAGGACCUCUUUGGAUCACCUCCACAACAAAAACACAGCAAGCUCGAGCAGAAUUUUUUCACUCAUUGGAGUCCCCCAGCAAUAAAACCCCUGACACCAAAAAACAAAUCCCUUCUUCCCAUGGCUCUGCUAGAACUGCCUUUGCCAGAACCACUCCUGUGGUCAGUCCAGUGAAUGCUACGAAGGAUCAGGCACGUAACCAUAUCAUGCAGGCUUUGGCUGGAUCGAACACCUCUCCAAAUAAACCAGGAGGACUCAAUUCUACUGGCUCCCCAGCAUCCAGUAGUGGCAAGUUUUCUCCCGUCAGUUCUCGAUGGCAGAAUCCAGAUCCAAAAACACAGCCCAACAGAAUAGGGUACACAGCGCUGAAACAGGAGAAGGUCACAGAGCCUCUGCCCAAGAGCCAGGCUGCAAGAAAACCUGUUGACUCUGUGCACAAACCGGAGUCUAAAGUCUCCAAAGGAAGCAUGAAUGUUACUGAAGACAACUCUGAGAGCCCAGCUGACUGGAGAUCUCUGUUGAAGCCUGUGGCCAACAAAGACCAAGGUGGCUCUAAGAAACCUUCUGAGAAUUCCCAGAUGAGAACAGAGAGCCCAGCACGGAAGGAGAUAAAGCCAAGUCCAUCUGUUGUCCCAUCAACAAAGGAAGACUCUGCUUCAUCUGGUGGGUUCAUGAAGAAGAAGCUGCUUCCCAGCUCAGAUCUUGUCAGGAGCUGUCAGAAUUUGAGAAAAGGCUGGGAAGACUGUGGAGGCUCUUCCAAGAAGAAGGAAGAGGAGGACCAACAGAAACAGAACACUGACACAUUUAAGCCCUCUGCUCCAAAAAGUAUCCAGAAGCCUGAAGCAGUGUCUCCAAGCAAGCUGCACCCAGACUAUCUACCUGAGGAGGAAAUCCAGGAGAAAGUGCGUGACAUCGAGAAGCAGCUGGAUAAGCUGGAAUUGAAAGGAGUGGAUCUGGAAAAGCAGCUGCGGAGCUGCGAGGGAGAUGAGUCUGAGGAUGCCCUCAUGGUGGACUGGUUCAAACUGAUCCAUGAGAAACAGCUGCUGCUCAGACAGGAAUCAGAAUUGAUGUACAAGAUGAAGCAGCAGAAGCUGGAGGAGAAGCAGUGGAGCAUUGAGACAGAGCUGCGGCACCUCAUGAGCAGGCCAGAGGAACAGAAGACACCGAGGGAGAAGGAGCGAGAGAAGGAGCUGCUAGAGUCAUAUCUUAACACAGUCAAUGAUCGCAAUAAUAUUGUGGAGUGCCUGGAUGAGGACAGACUCAGAGAGCAAGAGGAGGACCAGAUGUUGGCAGACAUGAUUCAGAAGUUGGAUGGACCUCGUGAGAGCCAGGAACCAGAGAAGAAGAAUAAGUUCCGCUUGCCCAAAAUAUGGAAGCAGAAAAAUAAGAACUAAGCUCAGGAGUUAUGUUCUCUUGCCCAGAGCCUCAGAGAGGACUGUUAAAGAGAUGUUCUUUCCUCACUACUGCUUUCCUGAAGUCAUGCAGAACUGUGAUCAGGAUGCUCUUCCCUCUGACAUGGAGACUGCAGGUUUGCAGACCAAAGGGACUGUGUGAGCCCCCUCUGUCCCUGAUAUCUGGUCUGAGUAGGUAAUUUCUGACGCAUCAUUAACACUUCUGAGUAAACAAGGGGAAUUCUCCAAAUUAUUCGCCAUGAGCACAAAGGGAAAUUGGCUUUCAUCAUCUCCCUCUUCAUCCAAGGAAGAAACUGAUCUUGAACAGGCAUGGGGAGGAAGGGAGCCUCAUGGCUGCUCUUGUGUACUUUGAACCAACUUGAGAUGAAGAAGCAAGACAGUCCAGCUUACCCUGCUGACUGCGAGGGCAGCAGUGCCUGCAGCUUUGUCCCUACUGCUGAGCUAAGUGGCAGGUGCUGGUAACUGUAAAUGCAAAGUGCCUCGUGAGUAUGGGAACCUCAGGCAAUUCUUUCCAGUGGUCACCUCCCAUUUUCACCUGGACAAGUCUGUACCUGAAUUGUUUGAGAAGAGACUGGGGACAGAGCAGUUACUACCUUUCUCAAAACCAUCUAGAAAGUUGUGUUUCAGCACGGAGGGUGACAUCCUGGUCCUUGGUGGUUUGGGGCUGAACGGGUAAUUUCUGAGGCCAGCCCAGGUCUAGGAGGGAAGGACAGAACUUGGUUGAUAUGGAGGGCCACACAGGUAGUCCCUGGGGAGCAUUUGAGAUGCUUUUAGCAGCUGGGGUGGGAGGAGAUGGCUGGAGAGGACCUCUUUGCUCGGAGGUUGGCAUUUCGGCUUAGUACAGAACUCCAAGGAAAGAGACUUCAUUAGAGAGGUGGCACAUGGGGCUUUUAGGUGAAGCAAUUGCACCAGUCUGAGCACCCAGGCAUCUCCCCUUGCUGUGCACCACACUGACAGCCAGUUCACCCGGCCUCGAAUGCGGUGCCAGAGUGUCUGCGGUAGCAACCAAUAGAGCGAAGGUUAUUUAUAUUCAUGUUGCGGCUCUGCCAGCCGUGACUCUGUUAUCUGCCAUGCAUGAAUAUUAUUUGAAUACAGAGUUUGUCGUGACUAUUCUUCCGCGUGAAACAAGGGAUUUGCUGUGGGAUAGGAGCCCUCCCUCCAGCUGUCAAUCAGGAGGGGUUUCCUUUUCCUGUCUGGUUGGAAGCUGCAUCCCCAGCAAGGUGAGACAGUGGACACUUUUUCUGUUGUUAAUAUCCAUGUCUAAUCUCCUCUCAGAGGGGCCCUUUGUCCUAUACUGUAGCCAAGAUGAGUAAUUCAGGGAUAGAUGAGACGCUAUAAUUGGUUUGUGACAAAUUAAAACAUUUUUCCUUCAGAGCUGAGAGCAGGACUGUGGUCUGGAGCUGUCAAGCAUCACGGGGGAGGGUGAUUUUUGGAGUAAGCGCAUUGCAAAUUGGCUCCAGAUAUGCCUUGGAGUCUGAAAUUAAACUCCAGCUGGUGACUUCUCAGUUGGGAUUUUAUUUUUGGAGUAGGGAGAGAGGGACAAAGGGAUCGUGUGAGGGGGAGAGGCUGAUCAAUAAAGAGAAUGCAGGGAGGAUGUGGCUUUUUUUGCAUUGUUCAGAGAGCCAUGGUUAGGAUGCAGGAAGCCUGCAAAGGUGUGAUGGGAGUGAGCAGGCCAAGAGGUGGAGCCCAUCUUUGCCUACCUUUCCUCUACACUGCUCCCUACUCAUCUCAUCCAAGCUGGUCUAAGCGGUUCUUCCCCCUGCCUCCUUCACAUCCCAUCAAGGAAGAACCAUGAUGAAAAGCUGUGGCUAGCACAUCUGCACUCCUUUGGUGUAAAACAGUGUCCAGUAAUUUGCAGGCUGGUCCUUGCCACGUGUUGCUUUAAUUCCAGCAUUAAGAGAAGAUCCUUUGUCCACAUAGAGAGCAAGGAACCGGCUAAAAGUUGGGAACAUAGAGGUGAUCUGAUAGACAGUUUGAUGAAGUACCUGGAUGUGCUUCCAAGGUGUUUAUAAGCCAACUUUGGACAAAGUGAUGGAGGCAGAAGGAAAACCACUUCCUGAUGCAAAUGUUCGAUGCUGUAAUGGAGAAUGCAACAACAGCAUUGUCUCCAUCAUUUGAUGGAGAUGGAUGGAGAAUAAAAGUAUAUGAACAGCAGGUUUGAGAAGGAUGUGGAUCUGCAGAGGACACUUAAAAGAGGUAAGAAGAGUAGCUUGGAGGGAUGAUUCAUAUUUAAAAACUAGAGUGGAAGAAAGCUCUGAGAUGGGAAGAGUAGACAAACUCCAAAGGACAGGGCUGUUAGGGGCUGAGCCUUGCCAGACUGGCUGGAUGCAGAGCAGAGGUAAAUUCAAUAAGAGAAUGGGUCAUAUGAGUGGGAACAAGGCCUUGAGUUGUUUGCCUCAAGAUUUUUUUAUCUGAUACUGAAGAGACAGGACAGCCAAGGAAAGGGUGAUGUGAAUUUUCCAAUAGAGUAUAACUUGAAAUGAAGGAAAGAGCUCUGGUAGAGAAACUUGUAGGUAUCGAAACAGGAAAAGCACAAAAGCUUUCAGGGGUUCGGAGUUCAGAGCUGGGAGGUGUUAGAUGAUGACAUAGGGCUGAGGUUUGGGCAUCUCCUAGAUAUGAAGGGUGUAACUAGCAGGCAGGAUGGCAGGCCCAGGGUGACAAGGCAUUGGAGGUUUUGAGAGGAAAGAUCACGGGAUCUAGCUUAGCUAUGGAAAGUGUAGAUGCUGCAAAUCCUGAAAGGCAGGAUCAGAUGGCGAGCUGUGACUGGUGUCACUUGUAUUAAGACGUUAGCUAAUCUGGUUUAAGGGGAUAAGCCCAAGAAAAACUGUAGAGAUGUAAAUUGGAGCCUGUCACUCUUCACUCUCCUAUGGAAAGCAGACAUGGGGAGGAGGAUAUGCUGACAGAGACCCUGGAUAGUUGAUCAGAAGCAUAGGCCAACAUGGAGGAGUACUGUGAAGAUGAAGAGUCAUGAGGCAUCAGGUAAGAAGGAAUGACAAGAAUUGCCAAAAACUACAGUCAUGUAAUCUGGGUAGAGAAAUGUAGGCCUUCAGCUCUGGCAGUGAGAGGCCAUGGGAUGGCGUCAGUGGGGCUGACACUGGGGUGGCCACAGUCUCUGCCAGGGCAGAAACAGGGGUGGAGAUGAUGCUGGAUGUGUGCAAGAAGGGAAACCACAAUACAGAAAGUAUGUUUACAAAGAGGAAAGAAAUUUCUGUGCCUUAAAAUGCCAAAACAUUACAAGAAAUCAUUUUUUUUCGGUAAAUGCCUAGGCCUAACAAGAGGACUAGCUGGUUCGAAGGAAGGUUUGUGUUCUUAGAUGCAGUUACCUGAACAGAACCACUGAAUUUUUCUACUGACCCCCUGUACAUGUAUACAGUGCCUUAUGGAAAGGUGCAAUUGCAAUUCGUACUGCCAGACAUCCUCCUCAGAAACAGGGUAUUUUCCAUUUCCAUUUUGGUGAUAGGUAGUUGCUGUCUUUCUGUGGUGCCCUCCUUUGCAAUGAGCUUCUGCUCAUUUCACUGCUAUUCUCAAUCUUCCUUGUCUUCCUGGCAAAUGGCUAAUGAUAAAAACUAGGUUAAGCAUAAAUUGGCUUUCUGAAUGUCCCCAACUUGCUGAGGACUUAAAUAUGGGAAAAGAGCCUGUAUGUAACUGCUGAAACUUCCCCACUCUCUGGCUUGCCAGGAGUACAUCAUGUCCAGCAGUCUGUAGACCACAUAAUUCUUUCAACAACUCAGACGCCAAUAAUAUUCUUGUAACUUGCUGAGACUUUGGGAUCUGUGAUGUUGUAGAAUAUUGCAGCUAAAUUGUUUAAGGACGGGGGAAGGAAGUGAUGAGAAAAAGCAGGCAAAAAUCUGCUUAAACAAAGGUUAGCUGCAGCUGAACGAAGUGGUUAAGUGGAGGCACUUGAGUGUUUCAGUUCAUAUUACUGAAGUGUUUGCUGUAUUUCAGAAUUCGUGCUCAACUUUACUGCCCUUUUACAAGCAUGAUGUUGUAACAGCAGAAAUCUCUUCCUUGAGCAAAAGGAUAGCUGGAGUUCAGUUUCCUUGCUGAUGAGGAUAGAAUCCCAUGUGCUAGGUGAAACUGGUGAGGCUAGUAGUAAAUCUAUAGAAGUGCAGCGAUUAUGGUCUGGGAAGCUUAUGUGAUGCAUAUCAAAGACAGUAUGUGAAUUGUGUAAGUGUGAUGUAGGUCUGGCACUAAAAUGAUAAGAGUCAUAUCAAGGGAAUAACUUAAUUAACUGGUCUUGAUCAAAGAACUAUAUGAAUUCAAUAGCCCAGUUUUCAGAGCUAAAUGAUGAAGUUUAGAAAAACUGUACUUGACGCAAUUAUCAAUUUUCCUGUCCAAGGAGCUUUGAAGUUGUAUUAAGAAGGGACAGUCUAUUGUUCCAUUUAGGACAACUUUUUCCCUUCCCCAAGUGAUCAGAAGGCAAAGGGGCUCUGUAUCCUUUUUCAAGUGCUCAUUUGAAAUGGUCGGAGGCAUAAUAAACAGUGGAUGCCAAGGGGAACAGUAUCUCUGCUUUCACAAAUUAAUUGUUUCAGAUGGUGUAAAUCAGAAACAAAGAGCUGUCCUUUGCCUGACAGUCAGUAAAAUGUUUUAAUUUCCCUAAAGCUUUCAUUUUGCUUAGAAAUUUGGAGAGGAAGUAGUCCUGUUUAACUUCCUAGGAGCCUGGACCUUUUGGUUUUGGUCUUUGUAGCAUGAUUGUGCACCUACAAAGGGAAGGAAGUGUGCUAUCUAAAUAGGAUGAUGGAUUUCACAGCAAAGAAGGAGUUAAGCUGUAGAAAGGUUUCUAGUGCCAUGUGUGUUUACCAACUUGUAUGUUGAUGUCUAUCUACAUCAUUGUCUGGUG
Rhea pennata is the source of this 7216-nucleotide RNA transcript. It is a transcript of the gene named MICAL like 2, with no coding region annotated. The record is from RefSeq and is a predicted model, not a curated record. Lineage: Eukaryota; Metazoa; Chordata; Aves; Rheiformes; Rheidae. The transcript is spliced from 18 exons.